UUAGGGACCAUGUCGGAAGCAGCAACAAUCCGAGGAGUUAGGGGAGCGUGUCCGCGGCGGCGGUUGGGACGGGAGCUAGCACCACGGCGGCCGCAGGGAGGACAGCGAGCACGGCGGCAGGCAGCGGCUGGGAGCGUGUCGGCGUCGGCGGACGAGAGGAGACGACGGGGUCGCGGGGCUCGUAGCGGGGCAGCUUAUCCGCGAGGGGUGCCGUCGCGGAGGAGGGACCUAGUCGGUGACUGCCGGUAGUUGCGGCCGCUGGGUUAGGUAUCCUUCCUGCUCAUAGGGAGGGUCGGGGGACGCGGCGGCAGACGGAGACUGCUAAGGUGUGCGCACAUCCGCUGUUACCUUGUUUAAGUCUGUAAGUUUCUAUAAGUAGGCAGUCUUAUAAGUCCAAACGGUACACUUCUUUUUCCUAUACACCCUCGAAAACCUACCUGUUUCCGAGGUCGUUACUUCUCUUCUCUCGACGUAAGGGAUGAACGUUAAGAUCAUUGAUAGAAACAAUAUUGAACAUCUCACAUGGGCGUUUUUUUGAACAUCUCACACUACCUAAUUAACCCUACGAUACAUUAGUCUCAUGCAUGGG
Molecule: ribosomal RNA, 589 nt
Filed under: Triticum aestivum (bread wheat)
Lineage: Eukaryota; Viridiplantae; Streptophyta; Magnoliopsida; Poales; Poaceae
Description: partial small subunit ribosomal RNA
Source: RNAcentral